CAUCUUUAAUGAAAUGGGAGGCAGUGCUACCAGCAUUUUAAUUAAAAACAAAAAUGUCAAGUUUAAGCUCAUCUGUCAACUAUGAAUAUUUCACCGUUUCUUCAUUCAUGCAUAGUUCCUGCAAUUGCACAAACCUAAAAUCCAAUUAUGAAUUUCAACUUAUGAGACUCGAAUUUUCCGCAUACCAGUAUUUUUAAUGAUUGUAUAAGGUGAGAAGACAUCAUUAAAAUUGGU
RNAcentral lists this long non-coding RNA (234 nucleotides) under Phoenix dactylifera (date palm). Its description in RNAcentral is "long non-coding RNA (PDAC_LNC005478)". The record is from RNAcentral. Lineage: Eukaryota; Viridiplantae; Streptophyta; Magnoliopsida; Arecales; Arecaceae.